This 69-nucleotide small RNA is filed under the name Eubacterium sp. 14-2. RNAcentral describes it as "int-alpA RNA". It matches the Rfam family "int-alpA RNA". Rfam says of the family: Acidobacteria (1 example), Planctomycetes (1 example), Proteobacteria. Lineage: Bacteria; Bacillati; Bacillota; Clostridia; Eubacteriales; Eubacteriaceae. The record is from Rfam by way of RNAcentral.
UUUGUGGCUAGGGAGGUACACCCGAAAAGCAGAAAAGCCUAUCUGUCUGCCACAAUUCUUAAAUAGGCG